RNAcentral lists this transfer RNA (365 nucleotides) under uncultured Microcystis sp. RNAcentral describes it as "partial 16S-23S ribosomal RNA intergenic spacer". The stretch from base 136 to 209 matches the Rfam family "tRNA". The record is from RNAcentral. Lineage: Bacteria; Bacillati; Cyanobacteriota; Cyanophyceae; Chroococcales; Microcystaceae.
AAAGGGAGACCUAAUUCAGGUAGGAGACGAAAAAAAAGUAGUCGCUACCAAGAAUCAAUCCCAAAAGGUCGGAGCGAGGCGAAAUUGGCUUUCAAACUAGGUUCUGGGUUCACACAAGACCUGAAUCAGGAACAAGGGCUAUUAGCUCAGGUGGUUAGAGCGCACCCCUGAUAAGGGUGAGGUCCCUGGUUCGAGUCCAGGAUGGCCCACCUGUACAGGUGGCAAAAAGAAAGAAAAGAAGCGAGGAAUCAGCACCUUAUCUUACUUAUAUAGUAAGAGAGAAUGCUGGCUCUGAGUUCAGAGUCCAGAGGAACCUUGAAAACUGCAUAGAGCUAGGUGAAAAAGCCAAAAAAGAAGAUCGCAAG